UACGAAGGGUGCAAGCGUUACUCGGAAUUACUGGGCGUAAAGCGUGCGUAGGUGGUUCGUUAAGUCGGAUGUGAAAGCCCUGGGCUCAACCUGGGAAUGGCAUUGGAAACUGGCGACCUAGAGUGCGGUAGAGGGUAGUGGAAUUCCCGGUGUAGCAGUGAAAUGCGUAGAGAUCGGGAGGAACAUCUGUGGCGAAGGCGACUACCUGGACCAGCACUGACACUGAGGCACGAAAGCGUGGGGAGCAAACAGG
This 253-nucleotide ribosomal RNA is filed under the name uncultured bacterium. Its description in RNAcentral is "partial 16S ribosomal RNA". It matches the Rfam family "Bacterial small subunit ribosomal RNA", at positions 524 to 776 of the family's 1533-position model. The record is from RNAcentral.